UUCUGUCAGACCUGGGCUCUGACCGUUCAUCUAAAAAAUAACUAAUAUAAUGAUAUUCCAAAAAAGUUCUGGAAAUAAGGAUGACAAAUAUAAAUCAAAUUUGGACACACUUCUAUUAGAACACACCAAAAACUACACGUAUCUAGAACUAAAUAUCAGCAACACAGGUAGCUUUCACAUGGCUGUGAAUGAGCUGAGAGACAAAGCAAGAAGAGCAUCCUAUGCCAUUGAAAGAAACAUUAAAAUCGAAAUUCCAAUUAGAAUCUGGCUCAAAAUGUUCCAAUCAGUUAUAGAACCAAUUGCUCUAUAUGGCAGUGAAGUAUUGGGUCUGCUGUCUAAUAAUGAAUUUACUAAACGGGACAAACAUCCAAUCGAAAUACUGCAUGCAGAGUUUUGCAAGACUGUAUUGCAAGUGCAAAGAAAACCUCCAAAUAACACAUGUAGAGCAGAAUUGGGAAAAAAAAAAACUCCUUGCUCAAAUAGAUAAAGAGCCAUCAAAUUUUACAACUAUUCCAUCACACAGCUCUACAAUGUCAAGAGAUGAAAAAAGAGAAGAGUCCCCUCAGCCAGCUGGUUCUGAGGCUCAGUUCACUAACCCAAACCAACCCCAUAGAGCCUCAGGACAGCACUCAGAAAAUCUGGCCCAACCAAAUCAUCACAAAGCAAAAAGAAAAAUCUAUAACCUAUUGGAAAGACACCACAAAAAAAUCUAAGUGAACUUCAAUGCUAUUUGGCUCUAAACAGACAGUAUAUGGUGGCAGACUAUCUGACCACUAUGACUGAUAGAAAACUGAGGAAAACAUUGACUAGGUACAGACUCAGUGAGCACAGUCUGGCUAUAGAGACCGGUCGUCACAGGCCAACCUGGCUGCCCAGAGAGGACAUGCUGUGCUCACUCUGCUCCAGGGGAGAGGUAGAGACAGAGCUGCAUUUUCUAUUACACUGUUACAAAUACUCAGACCUAUGAGAAUUAUUCUUUCCCAAAAUUAGCAUUCAGUACAAAGAAUUUGAAACUGUAAAAGAUGAAGAAAAAAUCUAAUAUUUAUUGGGUGAAAAGCCAAAAUGUGCAGUUUUGGCAGCCAAAUAUGUGUCCUCCUGCCACAACCUAAUAUAAUAAUAAUAAUAUAAUAAUAAUAAUAUAUAUAAUAAUAAUAAUAAUAUAUAUAAUAUACACAAGUACACAACCUGAGGGACAGCCAGUGAAAAGUGCAAUGUAAUGUCAAUAAUAUUUCCCAUUUAGUUUUGUUUUGGUUUUCAUACCAUGUCAUGUGGCUUCUCAGUCAUGUUGAGACUGAUCUACUACCAGGUCAUGUGGCUUCUCAGUCAUGUUGAGACUGAUCUACUACCAGGUCAUGUGUCUUCUCAGUCAUGUUGAGACUGAUCUACUACCAGGUCAUGUGUCUUCUCAGUCAUGUUGAGACUGAUCUACUACCAGGUCAUGUGUCUUCUCAGUCAUGUUGAGACUGAUCUACUACCAGGUCAUGUGUCUUCUCAGUCAUGUUGACACUGGUCUACUACCAGGUCAUGUGGCUUCUCAGUCAUGUUGAGACUGAUCUACUACCAGGUCAUGUGUCUUCUCAGUCAUGUUGACACUGGUCUACUACCAGGUCAUGUGUCUUCUCAGUCAUGUUGACACUGGUCUACUACCAGGUCAUGUGGCUUCUCAGUCAUGUUGAGACUGAUCUACUACCAGGUCAUGUGUCUUCUCAGUCAUGUUGAGACUGAUCUACUACCAGGUCAUGUGUCUUCUCAGUCAUGUUGAGACUGAUCUACUACCAGGUCAUGUGUCUUCUCAGUCAUGUUGACACUGGUCUACUACCAGGUCAUGUGUCUUCUCAGUCAUGUUGACACUGGUCUACUACCAGGUCAUGUGUCUUCUCAGUCAUGUUGAGACUGAUCUACUACCAGGUCAUGUGUCUUCUCAGUCAUGUUGAGACUGAUCUACUACCAGGUCAUGUGUCUUCUCAGUCAUGUUGACACUGAUCUACUACCAUUGCUUUUAUGUAUUGUUAUUCUCAUUAAUAUUGUUGUUGUAGUUGCUGUUAAUGGUAAUCCCAUUUCCACUACUACUACUAUUAUUGCUGUUGGUCCC
Oncorhynchus keta (chum salmon) is the source of this 2092-nucleotide long non-coding RNA. RefSeq lists it as uncharacterized. The record is from RefSeq and is a predicted model, not a curated record. NCBI's taxonomy places the organism in Eukaryota, Metazoa, Chordata, Actinopteri, Salmoniformes, Salmonidae. The transcript has 3 exons.